UACGUAGGUGGCAAGCGUUGUCCGGAUUUAUUGGGUUUAAAGGGUGCGUAGGCAGUCCUGUAAGUCAGUGGUGAAAUACGGCAGCUCAACUGUCGAGGUGCCAUUGAUACUGCAGAACUUGAGUACAGUCGAGGUAGGCGGAAUUGACAGUGUAGCGGUGAAAUGCUUAGAUAUCGUCAAGAACACCGAUAGCGAAGGCAGCUUACUAGGCUGUAACUGACACUGAGGCACGAAAGUGCGGGGAUCAAACAGG
RNAcentral lists this ribosomal RNA (253 nucleotides) under uncultured bacterium. RNAcentral's name for it is "partial 16S ribosomal RNA". It matches the Rfam family "Bacterial small subunit ribosomal RNA", at positions 524 to 776 of the family's 1533-position model. The record is from RNAcentral.